Molecule: ribosomal RNA, 460 nt
Filed under: uncultured bacterium
Lineage: Bacteria
Description: partial 16S ribosomal RNA
Rfam family: Bacterial small subunit ribosomal RNA
Source: RNAcentral
CCUACGGGAGGCAGCAGUGAGGAAUAUUGGUCAAUGGACGAGAGUCUGAACCAGCCAAGUAGCGUGAAGGAUGACUGCCCUAUGGGUUGUAAACUUCUUUUAUAUGGGAAUAAAAUGUUCCACGUGUGGGAUUUUGUAUGUACCUUAUGAAUAAGGAUCGGCUAACUCCGUGCCAGCAGCCGCGGUAAUCCGGAGGAUCCGAGCGUUAUCCGGAUUUUUUGGGUUUAAAGGGAGCGUAGGUGGAUUGUUAAGUCAGUUGUGAAAGUUUGGGGCUCAACCGUAAAAUUGCAGUUGAAACUGGCAGUCUUGAGUACAGUAGAGGUGGGCGGAAUUCGUGGUGUAGCGGUGAAAUGCUUAGAUAUCACGAAGAACUCCGAUUGCGAAGGCAGCUCACUGGACUGCAACUGACACUGAGGCUCGAAAGUGUGGGUAUCAAACAGGAUUAGAUACCCCAGUAGUC